UUUCCGUAGGUGAACCUGCGGUUGGAUCAUUG
This 32-nucleotide ribosomal RNA is filed under the name Veronica calycina. Its description in RNAcentral is "partial 18S ribosomal RNA". Lineage: Eukaryota; Viridiplantae; Streptophyta; Magnoliopsida; Lamiales; Plantaginaceae. The record is from RNAcentral.